This 9038-nucleotide long non-coding RNA is filed under the name Lathyrus oleraceus (garden pea). Its description in RNAcentral is "Pisum sativum (pea) long non-coding RNA (PSAT_LNC000929)". Lineage: Eukaryota; Viridiplantae; Streptophyta; Magnoliopsida; Fabales; Fabaceae. The record is from RNAcentral.
CCUGAAUAUGAGCUAUUCAGCAGUGAAAAUGAAAAUAUAGUGACGACAUUGAUGAAAAUUCUGACAAUUUAACUUAGGUGAACUUUUGAGCUAUUGUGACCAAUAGGAUAUAAGAUGCAAUAAACAUGAUAGAGGAUUCAUAUCGGAAUCUAUUAUGCAAUUAUAUCACUUCAUAUUGAGAGAUUCCAACUUAAAUAAAACCAAUGCCCUUUUGCUCUACAUUUCAUUUUCAUAUCGUGUGUCACGACACCAGUGGUUUGUAAAAUUAUUUGGUUGAAAUUUCCAUUUACCUCACUUUUAUUUUUAAAAAAUCCUGAUUCCCUCUCUUCCCUCUCUAUGCUUUCACAACUUCAUUUUCACUCUCUCCCCUAUCAAGACUAUAUUCUGAUCUAUAGCUUCCACAACAACUUGCUUCUUCUCCACCUCCUGUAAGUGCAUCCCUUACCUUGAUUCUUUCAUUUAUAGAAUUAUGCUUAUUUUCGCUUUGAUUUGUCCUUUCUUUUAAAGCUUCAAAUAUGAUUUUGGAUCACAAUAAGUUCUCAUUUUUUUACGUCUCUGAUCGAAAAUCGAAGUAAAAAGGAAGCAUUACGAACAUAACACACAACCUUCAAAAUAUAUAUGAAGAAGACAAUCAAUGUCUAAAUGGAAUGAAGAGGGAAGAGCAUAUAAAUAUUCAUGAAUUGUGAGAUAAAAUUAGAACUAGGGAUUAUAUAAAUUUACUCAGAUCUUCCAUUUUCAACAUAAUACUUUACUAAUUAUUUUUCUACAAAGCCAGGUACAAUUAAUGAAAGGCUGUUAGUGUUCCUCAGAUACAAGAAAUGAUGAGCAAGUUGGAAAUAAAUUUUACAUGAUUCUUUCCCAAAUCCUUUACUACUGUUUUUGUCUUUCUUUUUUAUUUUUCCCCUUUCUUUUAUUUCUUCUUUCCCUUAUUUAUUUGUUUAUUUAUAUUGUUAUAGAGUAGUCAAGUCAUUUCCAUGAGUUUUUUAUUAUUAUGGAUUAGAAAACUAAAACUGAUAUUAUAACCACCAGAGCAAUAGUAAAAGCCACAUAUAAUGGUGAUUGACCUCUUUUCUUAUUCUUAGUUUCGAAUUAAUGGAAUUUUAAAAUAAAUAUCCUUUUUUCUUAUGUUUCUUUAUCUUUCUUUUUAGACUUAUUUAAAUUUCCAUCUUCAUAUUCAAAAUUUGAUUUCUAUCGAAUUGACAUUUAUUCUUGUCUGAUGUUUUUUAUUAUGAUUUAUUAUUAUUUAUGGUUGGUAUCUUUUCCAUUUUCAAAUUGUAAUUUAUUAUUGAUCUAUGAGUUUUAAUACUUUUCUAUACUCUGCGCCUAAACUAUGAUUUUUCCUUUUAAGUAAGACAUAAAAUGUCAUUGUGUAUUAUUAAUUUAUUUAAUGAACUAAUUUGUUGCUUAUGAGUAAAAAUCCAGAGGGCUAAUACUUGCUAGUAUUAUAUAUUUCCAACUUCAAUAUGCUGGUCAUGCUGCUGAUUGUAGGCACUAGAUGUUGCUGAUCAUGUUAUUGGGAUGUACUGCUUUAUCAUGCGGGUAAGAUUCGGUAGACUUAAAGUGUAUCAUUUUGAUGUCAUGCCUGUAACAUUUAAGUUUUAUAUUUUCUCAAUACUAAUAAAUUGUUUAUAAAUUUGAAGGAAAACACGAGAAGGUAAUUAAUUGGUUGAUUUCGAUACUUUAUUUGAUUUUUUUUUAAUUUAUAUUCUGUAACCAUUUGAAUGAAAAGGAAUGGUACAAUACCUCUUAAAAAGUUCAUGACAAAAUCAGUGACUUUACUACAUGAAAUCUCUAGAUUUGUCAAGCUUCCAUGUUCUAGAAUCAAAUUGAAUCAAAUAGAUGUAUAAUUAGUUACUAAAACACGCGUCUAAUAAAACAUUUUCUAGAUUCUCACUUGAGGAAAUUCAACUUUACUUGGGAGAAACAUGUGUUGAUUCUUAAAAUGGAGUUAAUUACCUAAAUAUGAGCUAUUCAGUAGUGAAAAUGAAAAUACACUGACGACAUUGAUGAAAAUUCUGAUAAUUUAACUUAGGUGAACUUUUGAGCUAUUGUGACCAAUAGGAUAUAAGAUGCAACAAACAUGAUAGAGGAUUCAUAUCGGAAUCUAUUAUGCAAUUAUAUCACUUCAUAUUGAGAGAUUCCAACUUUGAACUUUUGAGCUAUUGUGACCAAUAGGAUAUAAGAUGCAACAAACAUGAUAGAGGAUUCAUAUCGGAAUCUAUUAUGCAAUUAUAUCACUUCAUAUUGAGAGAUUCCAACUUAAAUAAAACCAAUGGCCUUUUGCUCUACAUUUCAUUUUCAUGUCGUGUGUCACGACACCAGUGGUUUGUAAAAUUAUUUGGUUGAAAUUUCCAUUUACUUCACUUCUAUUUUUAAAAAAUAAUGAUUCCCUCUCUUCCCUCUCUAUGCUUUCACAACUUCAUUUUCACUCUCUCCCCUAUCAAGACUAUAUUCUGAUCUAUAGCUUCCACAACAACUUGCUUCUUCUCCACCUCCUCUAAGUGCAUCCCUUACCUUGAUUCUUUCAUUUAUAGAAUUAUUCUUAUUUUCGCUUUGAUUUGUCCUCUCUUUUAUAGCUUCAAAUAAGAUUUUGGAUCACAAUAAGUUCUCAUUUUUUUACGUCUCUGAUCGAAAAUCGAAGUAAAAAGGAAGCAUUACGAGCAUAACACACAACCUGCAAAAUAUAUAUGAAGAAGACAAUCAAUGUCUAAAUGGAAUGAAGAGGGAAGAGCAUAUAAAUAUUCAUGAAUUGUGAGAUAAAAUUAGAACUAGGGAUUAUAUAAAUUUACUCAGAUCUUCCAUUUUCAACAUAAUACUUUACUAAUUAUUUUUCUACAAAGCCAGGUACAAUUAAUGAAAGGCUGUUAGUGUUCCUCAGAUACAAGAAAUGAUGAGCAAGUUGGAAAUAAAUUUUACAUGAUUCUUUCCCAAAUCCUUUACUACUAUUUUUGUCUUUCUUUUUUAUUUUUCCCCUUUCUUUUAUUUCUUCUUUCCCUUAUUUAUUUGUUUAUUUAUAUUGUUAUAGAGUAGUCAAGUCAUUUCCAUGAAUUUUUUAUUAUUAUGGAUUAGAAAACUAAAACUGAUAUUAAAACCACCAGAGCAAUAGUAAAAGCCACAUAUAAUGGUAAUUGACCUCUUUUCUUAUUCUUAGUUUCGAAUUAAUGGAAUUUUAAAAUAAAUAUCCUUUUUUCUUAUGUUUUUUUAUCUUUCUUUUUAGACUUAUUUAAAUUUCCAUCUUCAUAUUCAAAAUUUGAUUUCUAUGGAAUUGACAUUUAUUCUUGUCUGAUGUUUUUUAUUAUGAUUUAUUAUUAUUUAUGGUUGGUAUCUUUUCCAUUUCCAAAUUCUAAUUUAUUAUUGAUCUAUGAGUUUUAAUACUUUUCUAUACUCUGCGCCUAAACUAUGAUUUUUCCUUUUAAGUAAGACAUAAAUUGUCAUUGUGUAUUAUUAAUUUAUUUAAUGAACUAAUUUGUUGCUUAUGAGUAAAAAUCAGGAGGGCUAAUACUUGCUACUAUUAUAUAUUUACAACUUCAAUAUGUUGGUCAUGCUGCUGAUUGUAGGCACUAGAUGUUGCUGAUCAUGUUAUUGGGAUGUACUGCUUUAUCAUGCGGGUAAGAUUCGGUAGACUUAAAGUGUAUCAUUUUGAUGUCAUGCCUGUAACAUUUAUGGCACUAGAUGUUGCUGAUCAUGUUAUUGGGAUGUACUGCUUUAUCAUGCGGGUAAGAUUCGGUAGACUUAAAGUGUAUCAUUUUGAUGUCAUGCCUGUAACAUUUAAGUUUUAUAUUUUCUCAAUAUUAAUAAAUUGUUUAUAAAUUUGAAGGAAAACACGAGAAGGUAAUUAAUUGGUUGAUUUCGAUACUUUAUUUGAUUUUUUUUUUAAUUUAUAUUCUGUAACCAUUUGGGUGAAAAGAAAAGGUACAAUACCUCUUAAAAAGUUCAUGACAAAAUCAGUGACUUUACUACAUGAAAUCUGUAGAUUUGUCAAGCUUCCAAGUUCUAGAAUCAAAUUGAAUCAAAUAGAUGUAUAAUUAGUUACUAAAACACGCGUCUAAUAAAACAUUUUCUAGAUUUUCUCUUGAGGAAAUUCAACUUUACUUGGGAGAAAUGUGUGUUGGUUCUUAAAAUAAAGUUAAUAACCUGAAUAUGAGCUAUUCAGUAGUGAAAAUGAAAAUACACUGACGACAUUGAUGAAAAUUCUGACAAUUUAACUUAGGUGAACUUUUGAGCUAUUGUGACCAAUAGGAUAUAAGAUGCAACANAAUGUAUAUUUUCUCAAUACUAAUAAAUUAUUUAUAAAUUUGAAGGAAAACACGAGAAGGUAAUUGAUUUGUUGAUUUCGAUACUUUAUUUGAUUUUUUUUUUGUAUUUAUAUUUUGUAACCAUUUGGAUGAAAAGGAAAUGCAGAAUACCUAUUAAAAAAUUGAUGACAAAAUCAGUGACUUUACUAGAUGAAAUCUCUAGAUUUGUCAAGCUUCCAAGUUCUGGAAUAAAGUUGAAUCAAAGAGAUGUAUAAUUAGUUACUAAACUACGCGUCUAAUAAAACAUUUUGUAGAUUUUCACUUAAGGAAAUUCAACUUUACUUGGGAGAAACGUGUGUUGGUUCUUAAAAUGAAGAAGUCAAUAAUCUGAAUAUGAAAUAUUCAGCCGUGAAAAUGAAAAUACAAUGACGACAUUGAUGAAAAUUCUGACAAUUUAACAUAGGUGAACUUUUGAGCUAUUGUGACCAAUAGGAUAUAUGAUGCAACAAACAUGAUAGAGGAUUCAUAUCGAAAUAUAUUAUGCAAUUAUAUCACUUCAUAUUGAGAGAUUCCAACUUAAAUAAAACCAAUACCCUUUUGCUCUACAUUUCAUUUUCACGUCGUAUGUCACGACACCAGUGAUUCGUAAAAUUAUUUGGUGAAGUUUCCAUUUACCUCACUUCUAUUUUUAAAAAAUCCCGAUUCUCUCUCUUCCCUCUCUAUACUUUCACAACAUCAUUUUCACUCUUUCCCCUAUCAAGACUCUAUACUCAUCUAAAGCUUCAACAACAAUUUGCUUCUUCUCCAUCUCCUGUAAGUGCAUCCCUUACCCUGAUUCUAUCAUUUAUAGAAUUACGCUCCCUUUCGCUUUGAUUUGUUCUUUCUUUUAAAGCUUCAAAUAUUAUUUUGGAUCACAAUAACUUCUCGUUUUUUUACGUCUCUGAUCGAAAAUCAAAGUAAAAAGGAAGCAUUACGAACAUAACACACAACCUACAAAAUAUAUAUGAAGAAGGCAAUCAAUGUCUAAAUGGAAUGAAGAGGGAAGAGCAUAUAAAUAUUCAUGAAUUGUGAGAUAAAAUCAGAACUAGGGAUUUUAUAAAUUUAAUCAGAUCUUCUAUUUUCAACAUAAAACUUUACUAAUUCUUUUUCAUGAUUCUUUCCCAUACCAUUUACUACUGUUUUUGUCUUUAUUUUUUAUUUUUCCCCUUUCUUUUAUUUCUUCUUUCCCUUAUUUAUUUGUUUAUUUAUAUUGUUGAAGAGUAGUAAGUCAUUUCCAUGAUUUUUUUUAUUAUGGAUUAGAAAACUAAAACCGAUAUUAUAACCACCAUUGCAAUAGUAAAAGCCACAUAUAAUGGUGAUUGACCUCUUUUCUUAUUCUUAGUUUCGAAUCCAUGGAAUUUUAAAAUAAAUAUCCUUUUUUCUUUUGUAUUUUUUAUCUUUCUUUUUAGACUUAUUUAAAUUUCCACUUCAUAUUCAAAAUUUGAUAUCUAUCGAAUUGACAUUUAUUCUUAUCUGAUGCUUCUUAUUAUGAUUUAUUAUUAUUUAUGGUUGGUAUCUUUUCCAUUUUCAAAUUCUAAUUUAUUACUGAUCUAUGAGUUUUAAUACUUUUCUAUACUCUGCGCCUAAACUAUGAUUUUUCCUUUUAAGUAAGACAUAAAAUGUCAUUGUGUAUUAUUAAUUUAUUUAAUGAACUAAUUUGUUGCUUAUGAGUAUAUGAGUUUUAAUACUUUUCUAUACUCUGCGCCUAAACUAUGAUUUUUCCUUUUAAGUAAGACAUAAAAUGUCAUUGUGUAUUAUUAAUUUAUUUAAUGAACUAAUUUGUUGCUUAUGAGUAAAAAUCAGGACGGCUAAUACUUGCUAGUAUUAUAUAUUUCCAACUUCAAUAUGCUGGUCAUGCAGCUGAUUGUAGAGACUAGAUGUUGCAGAUCAUGUUAUUGGGAUGUACUGAUUUAUCAUGCGGGUAAGAUUCGGUAGACUUAAAGUGUAUCAUUUUGAUGUCAUGCAUGUAACAUUUAAGUUUUAUAUUUUCUCAAUACUAAUAAAUUGUUUAUAAAUUUGAAGGAAAACACGAGAAGGUAAUUAAUUGGUAGAUUUAGAUACUUUAUUUGAUUUUUUUAAUUUAUAUUCUGUAACCAUUUGGAUGAAAAGGAAAGGUACAAUACCUCUUAAAAAGUUCAAGACAAAAUCAGUGACUUUACUACAUGAAAUCUCUAGAUUUGUCAAGCUUCCAAGUUCUAGAAUCAAAUUGAAUCAAAUAGAUGUAUAAUUAGUUACUAAAACACACGUCUAAUAAAACAUUUUGUAGACUUUCACUUGAGGAAAUUCAACUUUACUUGGGAGAAACGUGUGUUGGUUCUUAAAAUGAAGUUAAUAACCUGAAUAUGAGCUAUUCAGUAGUGAAAAUGAAAAUACACCGACGACAUUGAUAAAAAUUCUGACAAUUUAACUUAGGUGAACUUUUGAGCUAUCGUGACCAAUAGGAUAUAAGAUGCAACAAACAUGAUAGAGGAUUUAUAUCGAAAUCUAUUAUGCAAUUAUAUCACUUCAUAUUGAGAGAUUCCAACUUAAAUAAAACCAAUGCCAUUUUGCUCUACAUUUCAUUUUCAUGUCGCGUGUCACGACACAAGUGGUUCGUAAAAUUAUUUGGUUGAAAUUUCCAUUUACCUCACUUCUAUUUUUAAAAAAUCCCGAUUCCCUCUCUUCCCUCUCUAUGCUUUCACAACUUCAUUUUCACUCUCUCCCCUAUCAAGACUCUAUUCUGAUCUAAAGCUUCCACAACAACUUGCUUCUUCUCCACCUCCUCUAAGUGCAUCCCUUACCUUGAUUCUUUCAUUUAUAGAAUUAUGCUUAUUUUCGUUUUGAUUUGUUCUUUCGUUUAAAACUUCAAAUAUGAUUUUGGAUCACAAUAAGUUCUCAUUUUUUUACGUCUCUGAUCGAAAAUCGAAGUAAAAAGGAAGCAUUACGAACAUAACACACAACCUACAAAAUAUAUAUGAAGAAGACAAUCAAUGUCUAAAUGGAAUGAAGAGGAAAGAGCAUAUAAAUAUUCAUGAAUUGUGAGAUAAAAUUAGAACUAGGGAUUUUAUAAAUUUACUCAGAUCUUCCAUUUUCAACAUAAUACUUUACUAAUUAUUUUUCUACAAAGCCAGGUACAAUUAAUGAAAGGCUGUUAGUGUUCCUCGGAUACAAGAAAUGAUGAGCAAUUGGAAAUAAAUUUUACAUGAUUCUUUUCCAAAUCCUUUCCUACUGUUUUUGUCUUUUUUUUUCCCUUUUCUUUUAUUUCUUCUUUCCCUUAUUUAUUUGUUUAUUUAUAUUGUUAUAGAGUAGUCAAGUCAUUUCCAUGAUUUUUUUUUAUUAUGGAUUAGAAAACUAAAACAGAUAUUAUAACCACCAGAGCAAUAGUAAAAGCCACAUAUAAUGGUGAUUGACCUUUUUUCUUAUUUUUAGUUUCGAAUCAAUGGAAUUUAAAAAUAAAUAUCCUUUUUUCUUAUGUUUCAUUUAUCUUUCUUUUUAGACUUAUUUAAAUUUCCAUCUUCAUAUUCAAAAUUUGAUUUCUAUCGAAUUGACAUUUAUUCUUGUUUGAUGUUUUUUUUAUUAUGAUUUAUUAUUAUUUAUGGUUGGUAUCUUUUUCAUUUUCAAAUUCUAAUUUAUUAUUGAUCUAUUAGUUUUAAUACUUUUCUAUAUUCUACGCCUAACUAUGAUUUGUCCUUUUAAGUAAGACAUAAAAUGUCAUUAUGUAUUAUUAAUUUAUUUAAUGAACUAAUUUGUUGCUUAUGAGUAAAAAUCAGGAGGGCUAAUACUUGCUAGUAUUAUAUAUUUCCAACUUCAAUAUGCUGGUCAUGCUGCUGAUUGUAGGCACUAGAUGUUGCUGAUCAUGUUAAUGGGAUGUACUGGUUUAUCAUGCGGGUAAGAUUCGGUAGACUUAAAGUGUAUCAUUUUGAUGUCAUGCCUGUAACAUUUAAGUUUUAUAUUUUCUCAAUACUAAUAAAUUGUUUAUAAAUUUGAAGGAAAACACGAGAAGUUUGGUUGAUUUCGAUACUUUAUUUGAUUUUUUUUUAAUUUAUAUUCUGUAACCAUUUGGAUGAAAAGGAAAGGUACAAUACCUCUUAAAAAGUUCAUGACAAAAUCAGUGACUUUACUACAUGAAAUAUCUAGAUUUGUCAAGCUUCCAAGUUCUAGAAUCAAAUUGAAUCAAAUAGAUGUAUAAUUAGUUACUAAAACACGCGUCUAAUAAAACAUUUUCUAGAUUUUCACUUGAGGAAAUUCAAAUUUACUUGGGAGAAACGCAUGUUGGUUCUUAAAAUGAAGUCAAUAACCUGAAUAUGAGCUAUUCAGCAGUGAAAAUGAAAAUACACUGACGACAUUGAUGAAAAUUCUGACAAUUUAACUUAGGUGAACUUUUGACCUAUUGUGACCAAUAGGAUAUAAGAUGCAACAAACAUGAUAGAGGAUUCAUAUCGGAAUCUAUUAUGCAAUUAUAUCACUUCAUAUUGAGAGAUUCCAACUUAAAUAAAACCAAUGCCCUUUUGCUCUGAAUCUAUUAUGCAAUUAUAUCACUUCAUAUUGAGAGAUUCCAACUUAAAUAAAACCAAUGCCCUUUUGCUCUACAUUUCAUUUUCAUGUCGUGUGUCACGACACCAGUGGUUUGUAAAAUUAUUUGUUGAAAUUUCCAUUUAUCUCACUUCCAUUUUUAAAAAAUCCCGAUUCCCUCUCUUCCCUCUCUACGCUUUCACAACUUCAUUUUCACUCUCUCCCUUAUCAAGACUCUAUUCUGAUCUAAAGCUUCAAUAACAACUUGCUUCU